RNAcentral lists this ribosomal RNA (180 nucleotides) under uncultured eukaryote. RNAcentral describes it as "partial large subunit ribosomal RNA". It matches the Rfam family "Eukaryotic large subunit ribosomal RNA", at positions 40 to 232 of the family's 3401-position model. The record is from RNAcentral.
AUAUCAAUAAGCGGAGGAAAAGAAACUAACCAGGAUUCCCUCAGUAACGGCGAGUGAAGCGGGAAGAGCUCAGACGUGAAAUCUUCGGAGAUGUCGUCUGGAGAAGCAGGAUGAGGCGCUUGGGCGGGCGAAGUCUUCUGGAAAGAAGCGCCAAGGAGGGUGAUAGCCCCGUGCGCCGCG